RNAcentral lists this ribosomal RNA (596 nucleotides) under Hepatozoon canis. Its description in RNAcentral is "SSU rRNA". It matches the Rfam family "Eukaryotic small subunit ribosomal RNA", at positions 225 to 810 of the family's 1831-position model. The record is from RNAcentral. Lineage: Eukaryota; Apicomplexa; Hepatozoidae.
UGCAUGCUUUUACAGUAUGAAAAUUGGUGAUUUAUAAUAACUUAGCAAAUCGCAUAGUGAAAACAGGCGAUAAAUCAUUCAAGUUUCUGACCUAUCAGCUUUCGACGGUAUGGUAUUGGCUUACCGUGGCAGUGACGGUUAACGGGGGAUUAGGGUUCGAUUCCGGAGAGGGAGCCUGAGAAACGGCUACCACAUCUAAGGAAGGCAGCAGGCGCGCAAAUUACCCAAUUCUAACAGUUUGAGAGAGGUAGUAACAAGAAAUAACAAUACAAGGCAGUUAAAAUGCUUUGUAAUUGGAAUGAUAGAAAUUUAAACCCUUUUUAAAGUAUCAAUUGGAGGGCAAGUCUGGUGCCAGCAGCCGCGGUAAUUCCAGCUCCAAUAGCGUAUAUUAAAAUUGUUGCAGUUAAAAAGCUCGUAGUUGAAGUUCUGCUAAAAGUAACCGGUCUGCUUUGAAUAAAAGUGGUAUCUUGGUAUGUAUUUAGCAAUGAUGUCCUUUGAAGUGUUUUUUACUUUAUUGUAAUAAAGCAUAUUCAGGACUUUUACUUUGAGAAAAUUAGAGUGUUUCUAGCAGGCCAACGCUUUGAAUACUGCAGCAU